RNAcentral lists this unclassified non-coding RNA (432 nucleotides) under soil metagenome. RNAcentral's name for it is "partial contains 5.8S ribosomal RNA, internal transcribed spacer 2, and large subunit ribosomal RNA". The stretch from base 1 to 120 matches the Rfam family "5.8S ribosomal RNA", at positions 35 to 154 of the family's 154-position model. The record is from RNAcentral.
GAUGAAGAACGUAGCGAAAUGCGAUACGUAAUGUGAAUUGCAGAAUUCAGUGAAUCAACGAAUCUUUGAACGCAUAUUGCGCUCUCUGGUAUUCCGGAGAGCAUGCUUGUUUGAGUAUCAGUAAACACCUCAACUUCCAUAUCUUUUUUGAAAUGGGAGUUGGACUUGAGUGAUCCCAACGCUUUUCCUCACCGAAAAGUGGCGGGUUACUUGAAAUGCAGGUGCAGCUGGACUUUUCUCUGAGCUAUAAGCAUAUCUAUUUAGUCUGCCUAAAAACAGAUUAUUACCUUUGCUGCAGCUAACAUAAAGGAGAUUAGUUCUUGUGCUGACUGAUGCAGGAUUCACAAAGACAGGCUUCGGCCGACUUUGUAAACUCGAUCUCAAAUCAAGUAAGACUACCCGCUGAACUUAAGCAUAUCAAUAAGCGGAGGA